UACGUAGGGGGCAAGCGUUAUCCGGAUUUACUGGGUGUAAAGGGUGCGUAGGCGGUAUGGUAAGUCAGAUGUGAAAACUCAGAGCUCAACUUUGAGACUGCAUCUGAAACUACUAAACUAGAGUGCAGGAGAGGAAAGUGGAAUUCCGAGUGUAGCGGUGAAAUGCGUAGAGAUUCGGAGGAACACCAGUAGCGAAGGCGACUUUCUGGACUGUAACUGACGCUGAGGCACGAAAGCGUGGGGAGCGAACAGG
Molecule: ribosomal RNA, 253 nt
Filed under: uncultured bacterium
Lineage: Bacteria
Description: partial 16S ribosomal RNA
Rfam family: Bacterial small subunit ribosomal RNA
Source: RNAcentral